Molecule: transfer-messenger RNA, 363 nt
Filed under: Burkholderiaceae bacterium
Lineage: Bacteria; Pseudomonadati; Pseudomonadota; Betaproteobacteria; Burkholderiales; Burkholderiaceae
Rfam family: transfer-messenger RNA
About the family: Bacterial tmRNA, also known as 10Sa RNA or SsrA, is named for its dual tRNA and mRNA-like properties. Its role is to liberate the mRNA from a stalled ribosome.
Source: RNAcentral
GGGGGCGACCUGGCUUCGACGCGGGUCGUGAAGGACCUCAGGGCAUGCCGAGGACCAGUCACCUCGUAAAUCCAUCUGGAACACUACAAACGCGAACGACGAGCGUUUUGCUCUAGCCGCUUAAUACCGGUUAGACGCUGCACUAGCUGGCCCCUGGGCUAGGUCGGGCAACCGACAGCAGCGCCAUUUACAGAGGCUGGAUGCCGGUGGAGUCAUGACGGCGGCAUCGAGAUCCAGUGACUGGCUGCGCGUCGGCCUGCCGAUCGGCUAAGCGCGCAGUGAGACUCAAAUAGAACGGCUACGCAUGUAGAACUGGGUCUGGAUCAUUCGCGGACGCGGGUUCAAUUCCCGCCGCCUCCACCA